Molecule: ribosomal RNA, 251 nt
Filed under: uncultured Eubacteriales bacterium
Lineage: Bacteria; Bacillati; Bacillota; Clostridia; Eubacteriales
Description: uncultured Clostridiales bacterium partial 16S ribosomal RNA
Rfam family: Bacterial small subunit ribosomal RNA
Source: RNAcentral
CCAGCCGUAAACGAUGGUCACUAGGUGUAGGAGGUAUCGACCCCUUCUGUGCCGCAGCAAACGCAUUAAGUGACCCGCCUGGGGAGUACGGUCGCAAGACUGAAACUCAAAGGAAUUGACGGGGACCCGCACAAGCGGUGGAGCAUGUGGUUUAAUUCGAUGCAACGCGAAGAACCUUACCAGGGCUUGACAUGUAUGGGAAGUUUGCCGAAAGGCAGAUGUGCCUCUUCGAGGAGCUCAUACACAGGUGG